CGAGACGGGCGGCGUUGGGGCAAGUGCGGGGAAUCCGGCUGCAUCGGCUCGGCGGUUGGCGGACUCACCGGUCGGUGCGCGUUAAUGCAUCGUUGAAAUAUCGUGCAUUUACGUCUAAACCUAACUAACAGCAAGUAUGAAAACUGCAGGAGAAGUAUUUAUAAAAGAUCGUGCAUUUACAUCUGCGAAUCUAACUGACAGCAAGUAUGAAAACUGCAGAAGUAUUUAUAAAAGAUCGUGCAUCUGAAUCUAACUAACAGCAAGUAUGAAAACUGCAGGAGUAUUUAAAAAAAAAACAAGAAGGUUAUGCAUUUAAAUCCUAUGAAGCUUGCUAGAGCAACUACAGCUGCAGGAAGAGAAGCACAGAUGAUGGAUUAGGCACUCAAAUCUGCAAACCCAACUGAUGAGAACUGCUGGAAGAGGAGCACUGACUACAGAGCAAGUCAACAGAAGGAAAGGGGAAUUUCCAGUGGUUAUACUGAAAAUUGUAAUUUCAUCUUCAAGAAAACAGCAUCUAAAUUUUCCAGUUAGCCUGCCCAUACAGCUACUUCAAGCAAGAUUUAAUGUAGUAUAUGGUUAAUGGAUUUGUGGACUGAACUAGUUUUGGCAGUAAAUGUGAAUGGUGUGAAAUAAAGUUGAUUUUGGACAUCCAGUCCAGGGCCCUAAAGUCUUUGUCAUGAGAAUUUGUCUUCCAUUCAGACUUGUCCAGCUUGACUGUUGCAUUAAUAAUAAUUGGCCCCUGGACUCCUGCUUAUUUUUAAUUCCUUGUUGCCAGACUGUACAUAUUGAAAGUAUUGGACUCCAACAGUGCAGUAAUAACAUUUCCAAAUCUGAGCAUUUAAAAGUCCAGAAGAAGAUUUUCAGAACUUUCAAACCUACUUUGACAUUUUCCUAAUCUUAGUUUAAUUGAAAGACAAAAGUAGGUUGCAUUUCUCGAUUGCAUUCUUUUGGGUUGGGUGUGAUCUCAUGCAUCCUACUAUUUAAAUAGGGACACUGCUCAGGGACAUCAGGCUCUUCAUAUCAAUCAUCUGGAGAGGGUAUGUUUAAAAUAAAAC
Molecule: long non-coding RNA, 1055 nt
Organism: Pristis pectinata (smalltooth sawfish)
Lineage: Eukaryota; Metazoa; Chordata; Chondrichthyes; Rhinopristiformes; Pristidae
Exons: 7
Source: RefSeq, a predicted model, not a curated record